Molecule: unclassified non-coding RNA, 312 nt
Filed under: plant metagenome
Description: partial contains 5.8S ribosomal RNA, internal transcribed spacer 2, and large subunit ribosomal RNA
Rfam family: 5.8S ribosomal RNA (bases 1-105)
Source: RNAcentral
GAAAUGCGAUAAGUAAUGUGAAUUGCAGAAUUCCGUGAAUCAUCGAAUCUUUGAACGCACAUUGCGCCCUCUGGCAUUCCGGGGGGCAUGCCUGUCCGAGCGUCAUUACGCACCCUCAAGCCCGGCUUGUGUGAUGGGCCCUGGCGUCUCGUUCGCGAGACGGGCCCGAAAGGCAGCGGCGGCGUCGACCCGAUGAGCCAGAGCGUAUGGGGACUUUUGUCACACGUUUGCGGUGCGGACCGGCGCCUGCUUGACUUUUCUGAUUAUCCAGGUUGACCUCGGAUCAGGUAGGGAUACCCGCUGAACUUAAGC